Molecule: long non-coding RNA, 6443 nt
Filed under: Gallus gallus (chicken)
Lineage: Eukaryota; Metazoa; Chordata; Aves; Galliformes; Phasianidae
Source: RNAcentral
AAGGACUGAGGAUUGGUUGCUUCUCUCAUCCGUUUCUGUGGCUGGAGGUGCCUUGUGAACUGUACUGCUGAGACAAACAGGUGCCCAGAACUGCUCAGGACCGCCUAUGAAACCUGCUGCUGGGAUUCUCUCUUGCUGCUAAUGGAGAAGGUGACAUGCUGCUGAUUAAAGUGAGGACCAAGGCUGUGAAUGUUGAAACUGACAGCUCCCGGUCUCAGAGCUGGCUGUAGAAGCUGAAUCCUGCUUCCUCCAUACCACUGCAUCCUGGCUUGGCUGGAUGGGGCGAGGGCAGGGAUUUGCCCCUAAGCACCACAUUGGAGAACCCUCCCUGGAAGGAUGUGAGACCCUCUUCCAUUGCCUAUAUCAUCAGGUUGCUGAUUGCUUUCCCCAUGGUGGGCUGGACUGUGAAGACCAUUGGGCUGCCAGUGUACCUGUCGACCCUGGGACACCAAUGCAGUGGUAGAGAGCUAAUGAAUCACAACAUCACUUACGCAUUAACUUCUUUGAAAUGCAAAGCACUCCCCUGGUAUUUCAGUCUUUUCCAUCCAGUCCAAAGCAAAACCCCAUAGAUAGAGAACAGUGGGGAGCUGCACAAGGUAACACUUCCACUUUGUGUCUGGUACAAUGAUUGCAUCAGCAUUCAUUACAAUGGAACUUGCUGCCCUUUAAAGCAGUUCGGCACAUGCUGUAUCCUCAGCUUUCCUGCUUCCGACUGGCUCUGCGCUGAACUGCUUCCUUGCAUGCAUUCAAAGCAGUUUGUAAUUAACAAUCACAUUGUUUUCCUUUGAACAUCAACAGAGAUAUAGAAAACAGAGAUUGAGAGCUGAGAUGUUGGUACGACCGGGUAUUAUUUUGCUUUCAUGAAAUGACUUUUCCUAUUUUGCUGCAAAUUUGGUGCUGAUGAAAAGCUGGGGCAGCGUGCAGGCAGCCACAAGGCUUCACUCACCAGCUCAUGGACAAAGUUCUCUCCUCUCACUAUGGGGAAGCAGGAAAUUUGGGCUUGGAUGCCCUUUUACCUUUGCCCUUGCAGAACACAUUCUGGACACCAUUGCUGCCUUCACAAAAUAGCGCUCAGCAGAAAAGCCUGCAGAGAAGGACGAGGAAAACCAAGAGUAUGUGGGCUCCUGAGCUACCCAGCAUGUUGGAGCAGAGGGGCUGUGUUUGAAGCCUUGGCUCUGUGAACAAGAAGCAGAUUACAAACUUCUUCAGUUCUGGUGCAGAGCUUGGAUGGGAGGAUUGCUCCCUCCAUCUGUUCUUCGCAUAGGCAAUCUGCCUUUGAAAGCCAUCGCUGCUUAAGUAUGGAGGAAGCGUAAAUGCAGAAGCACCUGAAUAUUGUUUAACAGAUGGGGGCACACAUUUUUCAGGCAGAGAUUUCCUUUCCAUUGCCCCACUUAUUUUAGAGGUGUUUUUCAGGACCAUCCUUCCAAUGCCUGGGAAUAGGAUCCCAGCCUGCGGUUUGUGGCGAUGGCAGUUAAUUUCCAGCAGCUAACUUUGCUGUGAAAACUCUUGUGACAUUUGUGAAAUUUGCUUUCAUCUCCUUCCCUUCCAACUGAGCUCACAUUUUUCAUCAAAGCCUUCCAGGAGGAUCACACUCCAUGCCACACGCUCCACCCUGGCAACGAAGUGGCUGGAGUUCAUCCGUGCCAUUCUGAAACACUCAAGCAAGCCUGAUGAAGCACACAGCCAGGCUGCAGCCUGUGAAUGCCUCUGCCCACAUGCACAUCUUCCCUCCCUGCAGGAGCUGCCCUUCUGUUGAUGAUGCUCGCUUGUUCUUGCCCCUUCUGCAUUAAUACAUACAGCACAGUGGCUUUCAGCUUCAUCAACCCAAGGACCACUACAAAUCUUCCAAUGGGAACGCUGUCGUAGACUGCUGAGUGGCAGAAAGGAAAUUGCUUUUCUUUGCAACUUUUUUGAUGAUUCCUUGCAAACAGAUGGUGGACCCCAUGCCUCAGGGAGCGCACAUUGAAGCCACCACCUCACUGAGUUGGUGAAACCAACAGAAAUUGUGUCAUAUGGACCCCCAUAAGGCCCAUCUACUGGGAGAAGUCACAGCUGGAGAAGAGGAGGAAGAAAGAAGUAAAAAUAUAGGCAGAGAGGAUGGACCUCAAAUUUCUCAGUUUACAUCUCACUUCCCCUUCCCAUUCUUUAGUCAUCAUAUUCUUUCUGGGAGAAAGUGGCUGUUGGAAAACAGAGAGAGAAGACGACAAACACUGCUGUGGAAUUAUUUAACGAGCCAGAAUGAAUUGCAUUUGAAAUCAUUUAAAUGGGAUCUGGGAGUAUUUAACUGCAGCACAGGAACUUAACAAGAGUGGGAAAGGAUUUUGUGCUAAUUGCUGGCAAUGAUAUACCUACGGAGAGAGAACAUGCAGCAAUUAGUAAGCAAGGCUGUAAUUUCAGCCUAAGGUCCCUGCCUGCCCUGGAAUAUGCCAUGGAUUAUCUGUUGCAAGGAAGACAGGGACUUGGUCUGCAGGUGACCGAAGGGCAGCAGAUGAGGUUCUCAUUGGGAAGUCAUUAGCCAAGAUUGUCACACAGGAGAUAGGUCUGCUCAGACCCCACUGCACCUUUCCUAACCUGACCCCAGCCCUGAAAGAACCAUCCAACACAGCGCCAGGUGAGACCAGGUGUUCUCACUAUGGGCUAAGGCAGAAAGCCACCCUGCCUGGCUGAGCCUCUGCCACCUGACUGUGGCACACAGCCUCUGACAGCCUCUGCUCAUUGUUUUCUAUCUCUGUUCUCUCCCCACGAUGCCUCUGUCUUUGGUUUUUGUCUUUCAAUCAGUUUUCAUCUCAGUAAUUCCCAUUCAAUGGUUAGUCUCUGAUCUUUCUAAUUGAGAUCAGAGCUUCAUGUAAUAGGGAGGGGGGAGGGAGACUAUUUUUAAUUUGCUACGUUCCCAUUAAUAACAAGUUCUAAUUAAAAAACCUCCAUCUUCCAUCCUCCCAAGUUCAGAGGAAAACUCUGCAACUUCUGUUGGAAUCUUCUCCUGAUAAAUUGGUACCACAGCCUCCUAGAACAGCUGGUCCUCUUUAGCAGGCAUUGUAAUUAAUGGGAAUAAUAAAUGCAUUCAAAGCAGGUUCGUAACCUUCCUUUCUGUGCACUCAGGCUUCUCUUUGCAUUGCAAGAGACACACAUCAGCAUCUCCGCAAACAGGCCCAGCAGAGCUGCCUAAUUCUAAGAAGCCCAGGUGCCAGUGGUAGUCACUGGGCUGCCACAGCCCUUGCCAUACCCUUUGUGCAGGGCUCCAUUUACACCAGCUGCUGGCUGGGGCUGCCUUGGGGUGCAGAUCAGCUGUGCUAGUGAUGGACAGACUCUUGCUCUCCCUCUUAGCUUUUGUUCAUCGCUACUGAGUUAAUGGAUUUGUCUCAGGAGCGGCCAAACCGGGAGCCAUCAGCACAGAUAUCCCCAAGAUGAGCAAUCUGUCCUGAGCAGUGAUUUCAAUUAAAGGGUCAUUAGCGUGAAAUCUUAUCCCACCCAGCUCCCAUUUGCCAGCAGGAGGUCCUUCUCCCCAUCCCAAGCCUGCUCUGCGGUUAGAGCGCGCUGCUCCUGCUGGAGCCCUCCCGUUUUGCUAAAACACAGCAGCUGCUGCUAAUAAACAAACAUAUUGAUCAUAGAGAUAUGGGCUGUCAGGGACUUAAUUCAUGAAUGAAACGUGCUGGGGAGCGCCCAGUAGGAGAGGGCUGUGCUUGGAGAGCUCGAGACCAAGAUGGUGCCUGGAGGUGGGAGCAGAGGCUGCUUAGCACUGGGGCUGGUGCUAAGAGUUCAAAGGCUGAAUUUGUUCACGGCACAGAAAGGAGCAGAGCAAAUUUCUCCUGUGUCAUUAUAGGCCAUCACUGACAGGGAGGGAGGUGUUUCGGGGGAGGGCUCCAGUUCCUUCCUACUGAAGUAUUCGGGUCAACCCAACCAUUUAGGGCUAAUUUAAGAAGACUAUCAAAUAUUCUCCAGAAGCCAACCGUGAAGUUCUACAAGGAUCUGAGGCUUGGAGAGAAAUAGGAGCUGCCUGCCAGCUGUGAUGCUGGGACGGCAGAGCAUCGGUGCAGAAGAGGGGAGAGAAGCAGAGCUGCAGGUUUCCCAUUUUCCUACCCUCCUGACAGCAGUUUUCCUGAUUUGGGUCAAAAUUUCCCCCCACGUAUAGACAGUAAAACUCUCCUUUUGUGUGACAUGGGGACUGUGUGUAUCGCUGAGAUACUAAUGGCUGCUAUUGUUUCUAUAUUGUUGUCAUUGUCUAGCAUCUUAUCAAAACAAGGUACAAUCAACUCACAGGUGGAUCCCACACAGCCAGGGGCUGUAAUUACAACAGGCGUGUAUUUGAAUAUAGCCUUUACAGGUGCAAUAAAUUACGCUGAAGCAGCUGAGGAUGGAGGUUGAACUGUAACAGGCUGCCAUACUUUUGGUAUUAGCCACGCCAAAAGCUGUCAUUAAAAUAGGCCUCAGUAUUUAUGGUCCUGGGUAGUGGAGGCCUUGCUAAGAUUCUGAUGAAUGAACUUCCAAGGACAGGAAUAGCUGUCAGUCUGAAAUAUUUAUCAGUCUGAACUCUCUCUGCGAUUCAUGCCAUGGUUUGGCUGCCUCCGUUUUUCUUCCCGUCUGGUUGCUUUGAAGCUCAGGUUCCCCGGGCACCAGGUAUUCAGCACGGCUGAGUCCUGUGCUACCUCCUGUCCCUGGGGCCAUGUUUCGGGGCUCACCAAAGGAAUUCCUUCUCCCUGCGCUGCAGGAGAUGGAGGCCAUGUCUGGAUGACUUCAUGCCUCCCCCAGCAUGUGUCCUGAUGCUGCCUUUGCUGUGUGAUUCCCACAUCCUUCUGGCUAAGGAGAGGUCAAAGGAGCCUCGGGGCAUGCAAAUAUAAUUGGCAUUGCAGCCUUGGUAUCCACGCAUGAGGGAAGGUGGGUUUGCUGAAUAGGCUUCAGAAAAGCCUGAGAACCAGGAUUUCUGUGCAAAGGCACAGCCUGAUCUCACCAACUGGGAGUUUCUGUGCUCCUCAGGUCUCCAAGGCACCCAGAGCUUGCAAGUUAAUAAAAGUCUAAACAUUAUCUUCUGAAAGAGGGGAUGAAAACUCCCAGUGAAUCACCUGCAGCAAAUGCCAGCAAAGCACGUUUCCUUGAGGUUUCUUGAAGCUACCUCUGAAAGGUCAGAUUUCUCAGUGAGACAAAAAGCUCUCUUCUCCCUCCUAGCUGUUCCAUCAAUACUUGUUUUUUCUCUCCAUUUAUUUUUACCUUCCUGUUCAGGAAAACAUACAUAAAGAAGAAAAAAAAUGCAGCUUCCCAUGACAGCAGCUAAGUCCAAAGCUCAGUCUUAAACUAAGAGCUCAGUCCAAAGACCCCAAUAGACUUUGAGAGCAAUAGAGGAGGUGAGGAGACCCUAGUGAUGAUCAGGGCAAUGCAAAGUCAGCUGUGAAGCUGGGCGCAGAGGGAACAGCUGAUAUUCUCCAGUCAGAAGCAAAGCACGGGGCUUGUCCGGACAUGUUCCCUUCAGCCAGGGGAUGGGGUUGGAUGGGGCUCUGAGCCCCUGAUGUGCUCAGCUGUGGGUGCCUCUGUUCAUUGCAGGGGAGCUGGACUAGAUGACCUUUAAACAUCCCUUCCAACUCAAACAAUUCUGGGAUUCUGUGACUCAUUUGGACAUGUGCCACGGUUGGUCACCUUCCCAGACCUGAUGGCUUCUUCCAGCAGCCAGCUCGCAGGGUCUGGGUGUGGGCAAGGGGGAAGAAGGCCUCACCUCGUGGUGAGAGAGCAGGAGCUCUGCAGAGAGGACGUGACUCCUCUCUCUCACUCAUGCACUUAAUGACUCUCCACUGAGUUAAUCACGCAAUACAAUUCAGGGGUAAUAUUCCUAACCACCCCGCUGUGCCCUCAGCGAUACCUCCAGCUGCGGCACACCUCCACCUGCUGACACCAUCCCUCCCUUUUCCCCAUCUCCACCUCAUUUCUCUCUCGGUUGUUAUGGCCUUUGUCCAACAAAGCACUUAAACAGGUGUUCCCCUGAGCAAGUAACCCAGCCUUCUCCAUGCGGUGAAUCCAGAAUCCCAUGCAGGAGGCCUCUGCCCUCUGCACACCUGGGUUUUUUUUUUGGUGUAGAAAAGCACUGGGGCCACGGGCAGAGCAGAUGGGAAACCCUUGGCUGAUCUUCUCACUGUGCUCUGCAGUCCUGACAUCUGCUCGUGUGUGACAAUGGGAAUAAAUCACUGAGGAUUUCCUGCCCAGAUUUGGGGAACACAAACACUGCUGAAGUCCUUUGGUUUGCUCAGCCCAGGGAAAGGGAGGCUGCAUGGCAGCCUACGGUCCCCUCAUGGCCUACAGCUUCCUCACAGUGGCCUACAGCUUCCUCAUGGCCUACAUCCCCCCCAUGGCAGCCUACAGCUUCCUCAUGGCCUACAUCCCCACCAUGGCAACCUACAGCUUCCUCAUGGCCUACAUCCCCACCAUGGCAACCUACAGCUUCCUCAUGGCCUACAUCCCCC